GUAACGGGUUAAAGUAUAGCUUAUAGUUGUUAUGAUCCUUAAGAUGGAUGUUUGUAUGAGGGUGUAAUGUUCUAUAGUGGCUGUAGUAUCUAUUUAGUGGCAUAAAGUUCAUGGAUAUCUCUUGUUAUAAAGAUAGGUUAGGUAUGUUAUAAAGUUUCCAACUCAUCACUUUCCAUGCAUGAGUUAUUUAUAUAGAUAUGUUACAUACACGAGUAAGCUGGCAGCCACCAGAUGUACCUCUUGUUGAAGACAAUGUUCAAAACCUUCUUAUCUAUUUAUUUUCAAGGCAUUUAUUUCAUAAUUUCUCAGUUUUA
Molecule: long non-coding RNA, 314 nt
Filed under: Phoenix dactylifera (date palm)
Lineage: Eukaryota; Viridiplantae; Streptophyta; Magnoliopsida; Arecales; Arecaceae
Description: long non-coding RNA (PDAC_LNC022033)
Source: RNAcentral